Molecule: ribosomal RNA, 253 nt
Filed under: uncultured bacterium
Lineage: Bacteria
Description: partial 16S ribosomal RNA
Rfam family: Bacterial small subunit ribosomal RNA
Source: RNAcentral
UACGUAGGGGGCAAGCGUUGUCCGGAUUUAUUGGGCGUAAAGAGCGUGUAGGCGGCCAUACAGGUCCGUUGUGAAAACUGGAGGCUUAACCUCCAGACGUCGAUGGAAACCGUAUGGCUAGAGUCCGGAAGAGGAGAGUGGAAUUCCUGGUGUAGCGGUGAAAUGCGCAGAUAUCAGGAAGAACACCUAUGGCGAAGGCAGCACUCUGGGACGGUACUGACGCUGAGACGCGAAAGCGUGGGGAGCGAACAGG